RNAcentral lists this long non-coding RNA (449 nucleotides) under Bos taurus (domestic cattle). RNAcentral's name for it is "long non-coding RNA NONBTAT013670". The record is from RNAcentral. Lineage: Eukaryota; Metazoa; Chordata; Mammalia; Artiodactyla; Bovidae.
AGGAGAACGAAGCAUGACAAAAUUUUAUUGAGUGGCAAUCCCAUGCAAGGCCUGAGCUAGGCACAGUUUGUAUUACAAUUGUAUUUACAACCUCUUAAAUCACUCAGAUCCCCUCUAUGUCUCUGAUUACUUUUAAUCUCUAACUGAUGAAAGAUUAGGCCUAACAUUUUGUUCUUGUAUCUCGGUUGUAAGAAGCACAUACCAAUCCCUCCAGUUUAUCGCCUGUGAUUUCUUAAUGUGGAUAAAACCCCAUAUAUGCAGUUAAAAAAAAACACUUGGCUAAGAAGUUAUAGCAGUGUCUAAACUUACCCAGAAUGGAAAGCCUUAACUAAUAGAAGCAGUGAAAAAACUGAUUUUCUUAUAUUUUGUUUCUGGGUUCCCUACCUCUUUGUUGCCAUUGAUGACAUAGAUUUGCCUCUCUUACUUGUGCCCUGGUCCAGUGUGGCUUC